UGCUGGAAGCCCCAACACAAUUGUUUGGGAAUAAAUGGAAGUGAGGAAUGGAGAAGUAAGGAGGUACCACUCUCAAGGAGGCUGUCAGUAGAGGGGACAAAGAGUGUGAGAGAGGAACAGAAGAACCAAGCAGGAGACUGGAAGAGGCUGCAUACAGAAGGGCAGCAUCUGCCCCACCUCCCAGAGCUUCGCCAGCAAAGGCCAAAUCAAACAGCGGCCCAGAGCAGAGGGCUGGCCAGCUCUACAGAGCCAGCAAACACCAGAGGGAAAUCACCCUGGAUCCAUAUCUUCUAACCUUUGCCUCUGUGAGCAUGUUUGGGAAGGAGACAUCUAUGAGAUUGCAGGAGCCAAUUCAGGCUACAUGCUUAUAGCUGCAAUUGAAAAAUUAGGCUAGAAUGCAGGGCCUCCCUGAAGAUAUUUCUGAAAAUCAUGUACUUCCUUUAAGGGAUUUACAAAUCUGGAGUCCUUCCAAAACAGGACAAGUAAGACAUGAGCAGUGACUUUCUACUCUCCAUCCAGCAGCCAACAAUAGACUUCGUCAUUCAGAUGGAGCUGCAGAGGUACAGACCUGAGAGAGCUGGAAGUCAUAGAGCCAAUCCCAUGUAUUACUGACGAGGUAACUAUGGCUCAGGGUGACUUGACCUGUAAGCCACAAGCUUGUGGGUGACCACUCCAGGCCCUGAAUGGAGGAUUUCACUCCAUCCCCCUGCCCCACAAGUGGCCUCUGAGAGACAGAGUACCUGAUGCCACCUUAUGUGGGAUAUUGUUUUUGCUGUCACGAAUUUCUGAAUCCCCUCUUUGUGGAAUAGAGAAAUCAAAGCCACCAUACGUUCAAGGGUAUCCACUAAAGAAGCCACAUGGUUACUUCAGCUAAAAAUAAAUUAAAGACCUAACAAUGAAUUAUCAUUUAUCUAA
Molecule: long non-coding RNA, 915 nt
Organism: Homo sapiens (human)
Lineage: Eukaryota; Metazoa; Chordata; Mammalia; Primates; Hominidae
Exons: 2
Source: RefSeq, a predicted model, not a curated record